This 339-nucleotide long non-coding RNA is filed under the name Salvia miltiorrhiza (redroot sage). RNAcentral describes it as "long non-coding RNA (SMIL_LNC004069)". Lineage: Eukaryota; Viridiplantae; Streptophyta; Magnoliopsida; Lamiales; Lamiaceae. The record is from RNAcentral.
GGAGAUGAAGUUGGAGGAGUUGAGACCGGAGGUGCAGCCAAGAGUUUUUUUUUUUUUUUUUAAUGGCGGUGAAGGUCGAGAUUCCGGCGAAGGCUGGCUAUAAAAAUUUUAAGGGGCGAAAUUCAUAAUUUAGAUUAAAAAAAAAGUUAACGGAAAGAUAACAGUUGUUAACUCGAUGGGUUUAAAUGCACCAUUUUUAUGGACUCUGGGGGUGUAUUUGGGCCAAGGUCGAGAAUGAUGAGUGAUACGCUUUAGGGGUGUCUAAUUUAGUGGUGAAUUUGUACCUUAACCCUUUUAAAUAUACCCACUUUUUUUAAUUGAUUCAGCCCAUGACCGUCA